CCAGCUACCCGAGGAACGGAAGGUUCGUGAUCUCCGAACAACGUGAAAUGGUAAAGCUUCGAAGUCCAGGUAGGGGACUCGGGACUCUCUAUUGGCUAGUGAUUUUCCAUAUUUGAUUAUAUACGUGAUGCAUGAUGAAAGUACACUGUGAGUUCAAAUUUAAAAUGUUUUUAAGCUAACGUGCGUAUAAGAUUGUUGAUGGCGGUGUGUGAGAGCGGAAAGGUGGUCGAUGACUUCCUUGGGGAUUAGUCACCCCUAAACCUCCGGAGGGUUAGCUACACCGGUCGGACGGUGCGCAAUCGCAAUGACGACCCGGUUCCGUGUGUGUAGCUAGUGUGUUAAGUUUGGCGCUCUGUGACUGGUAAGGUCAGAUGUUGGUUCUACGAAACCAGACCAUCAAUAUGGAUGCAGGUACUGUGCACUGGUGACGGGACAGUGGAUACAGAGCUGGGUGUGCGGAGCAAGUUCGGUAACUCCUUGUUUGGAUUCUAUUCUAAAUUCUACUUCUCGAACUUCGUGUUUCGGAGCUUGUUGUUAUCUAGCCUCGUGUUAAAUUUAGUUGAAUUCUCUUUCAUUGAAUUCAUACUUCGUGUGA
Rosa rugosa (rugosa rose) is the source of this 595-nucleotide long non-coding RNA. RefSeq lists it as uncharacterized. The record is from RefSeq and is a predicted model, not a curated record. The transcript is spliced from 2 exons. NCBI's taxonomy places the organism in Eukaryota, Viridiplantae, Streptophyta, Magnoliopsida, Rosales, Rosaceae.